Molecule: transfer RNA, 74 nt
Filed under: Ancistrus sp. 2b MNRJ42890
Lineage: Eukaryota; Metazoa; Chordata; Actinopteri; Siluriformes; Loricariidae
Also listed under: 1 other name
Description: tRNA-Lys
Rfam family: tRNA
About the family: Transfer RNA (tRNA) molecules are approximately 80 nucleotides in length. Their secondary structure includes four short double-helical elements and three loops (D, anti-codon, and T loops).
Source: RNAcentral
CACUGGGAAGCUAAAAAGGGAUUAGCAUUAGCCUUUUAAGCUAAAGAUUGGUGACCCCCAACCACCUCCAGUGA